Long non-coding RNA from Melanotaenia boesemani (Boeseman's rainbowfish), 490 nucleotides. RefSeq lists it as uncharacterized. The record is from RefSeq and is a predicted model, not a curated record. NCBI's taxonomy places the organism in Eukaryota, Metazoa, Chordata, Actinopteri, Atheriniformes, Melanotaeniidae. The transcript has 2 exons.
GACUCCCACAGGGGUUUGCAGAUAGCCCCACCAUUUUCACACAGGCAAUUAUGAAUUGUCUGUCAAGCUUCACCCCACCUUGUGGAAGCCAAAUACUGGUUUAUAUAGAUGACAUCUUGCUGUCCUCACAAACACAAGCUGCAUCAUUGGUGACACAUGGUGUAUGUCAUGUGUCAACAGGGGGGAUGAGUGACAUUAUAGAGAAGCAGUUCACAGCCUUUGGAUUAAAAUCUUACUUAAAAAGCUUUUGUAAAUCCUGCGUGAUCUGUAUUAAACAUAACCCACAAGGCAACAUGAGACCACAGAGGGGCAGGUUCCCUGAACCAAAAUAUCCUUUUCAGACACUCCACAUGGACUUUAUUGAACUAAACCAGAGCGGACCACAUAAAUACUGUCUGGUAAUGAUUGAUGCUUAUUCUAAAUGGGUUGAAAUAGUCCCAGCUAAACAUGCUGAUGCACUGACUGUGGCAAAAGCAAUUUGUAAACACAU